This 347-nucleotide ribosomal RNA is filed under the name uncultured Lactobacillus sp. Its description in RNAcentral is "bacterial SSU rRNA". It matches the Rfam family "Bacterial small subunit ribosomal RNA", at positions 355 to 694 of the family's 1533-position model. The record is from RNAcentral. Lineage: Bacteria; Bacillati; Bacillota; Bacilli; Lactobacillales; Lactobacillaceae.
UAGGGAAUCUUCCACAAUGGACGAAAGUCUGAUGGAGCAACGCCGCGUGAGUGAAGAAGGGUUUCGGCUCGUAAAGCUCUGUUGGUAGUGAAGAAAGAUAGAGGUAGUAACUGGCCUUUAUUUGACGGUAAUUACUUAGAAAGUCACGGCUAACUACGUGCCAGCAGCCGCGGUAAUACGUAGGUGGCAAGCGUUGUCCGGAUUUAUUGGGCGUAAAGCGAGUGCAGGCGGUUCAAUAAGUCUGAUGUGAAAGCCUUCGGCUCAACCGGAGAAUUGCAUCAGAAACUGUUGAACUUGAGUGCAGAAGAGGAGAGUGGAGCUCCAUGUGUAGCGGUGGAAUGCGUAGA